UACGUAGGGGCCAAGCGUUGUCCGGAUUUAUUGGGCGUAAAGGGCUCGUAGGUGGUUUGGUAAGUCGCUCGUAAAAGCUCGGGGCUCAACCCCGAGAUGCGGUCGAAACUGCCAUGACUAGGGUCCGGUAGAGGUGAGUGGAAUUCUCGGUGUAGCGGUGGAAUGCGCAGAUAUCGAGAGGAACACCAGUAGCGAAGGCGGCUCACUGGGCCGGUACCGACACUGAGGAGCGAAAGCGUGGGGAGCAAACAGG
Molecule: ribosomal RNA, 253 nt
Filed under: uncultured bacterium
Lineage: Bacteria
Description: partial 16S ribosomal RNA
Rfam family: Bacterial small subunit ribosomal RNA
Source: RNAcentral